GACGAACGCUGGCGGCGUGCCUAAUACAUGCAAGUCGAGCGGACGAAUCGAAAGCUUGCUUUUGAUUCGUUAGCGGCGGACGGGUGAGUAACACGUGGGCAACCUGCCCUUUAUACGGGGAUAACACCGAGAAAUCGGUUCUAAUACCGGAUAACACGAAAUGUCGCAUGACGUUUCGUUGAAAGACGGCGCAAGCUGUCGCUACAGGAUGUGCCCGCGGCGCAUUAGCUAGUUGGUGAGGUAACGGCUCACCAAGGCGACGAUGCGUAGCCGACCUGAGAGGGUGAUCGGCCACACUGGGACUGAGACACGGCCCAGACUCCUACGGGAGGCAGCAGUAGGGAAUCUUCCGCAAUGGACGAAAGUCUGACGGAGCAACGCCGCGUGAGCGAAGAAGGCCUUCGGGUCGUAAAGCUCUGUUGUUAGGGAAGAACAAGUAACGCAGUAACUGGCGUUACCGUGACGGUACCUAACGAGAAAGCCACGGCUAACUACGUG
This 498-nucleotide ribosomal RNA is filed under the name uncultured bacterium. RNAcentral describes it as "partial 16S ribosomal RNA". It matches the Rfam family "Bacterial small subunit ribosomal RNA", at positions 28 to 507 of the family's 1533-position model. The record is from RNAcentral.